RNAcentral lists this long non-coding RNA (1413 nucleotides) under Triticum aestivum (bread wheat). RNAcentral's name for it is "long non-coding RNA (TAES_LNC010710)". The record is from RNAcentral. Lineage: Eukaryota; Viridiplantae; Streptophyta; Magnoliopsida; Poales; Poaceae.
UACCAUCCACUGAAGGUAACUCCUGUACCUACAUUUCUUUAGCAGGAUUGCAUUAGUUAUUGCAGAGAUUGUAUUAUUUGUGCAUCACUAAAGAAGACAUCUAAAGAAAUUACCUUGCACAGAUCUUGAUGGUAUAACUUCCAUAAUCUUCUUUUUCAUUCAACACACAUUUUAUUUGGGAACAUAGUUGUAUGUUGAAUGUAUACAUCUCUGUAUAAUUGAAAUAGCUUCCAUGUAUAUGCAUCUCCUUCUAUAUUGUUCAACAAUUAUAGUCGGACACUGUUUCAGUUAUGCCCAUCAUUGAUACUGCGUGAUGGCUGAAUCUGACAGAGAGUGGUGGCUGGGUCAGCCAUAUACGGGUGCCGUUGUUUUGGAGCUUGAGAGGCCAGAUCAAAGUCUACAUAAUUCAGUAUGCUUCCUUAUCUUCUUCUUUAGCUUAAGUUUGACAAAUUCAAGCUUAAGUUGCUGAACCGAAUCAGUUUGGUGUAUAAUACAUCUUGAUAUCAUGCAAUGUAACUAAACUUAGGAAAAUGUGUUAACCUGAAAUGACUUUUUAUUAUUGAAAACAUUUUACCAGCAUAAGCGUGAAAUUACCUACUCCCGAGGGCACAAGUUAUGUCGCCAUUGUGGGAACAUACCAUAUGACUCAUGUGCCUAAAUUGAUAUGUUGGAAUAUGUCACAUCAUUUUCUGAACUCUACUACGUAACUGUACAUCUAUAUUUUUAGUGAUCUACAUUCUUAUCUUAUCUUGUUCUUUAGCAAGGAUAGUAAUCUAUAUUUGUGUACUUGGAUGAGAUAAAAAGUUAUAACCUUCUCCCAGCAUGCCGAGAUACAUUUUGGUUGUUUGCUAUGUUCCAAGAGGUAGCAUGUCUCGAUCAAAUUAUUAUUCGAUAUGUUAUCUAUUUAUAGAGAUUUUGAUAGGCAUACACAAAUGAGGACAUCUUGCUAGCCAUGUCAUCAUACUCACGUGAUAAUAAGAUCUUCCUUUAGUUGUGUGUUUUUUGUCAUACUUUUGCUGAUUUGAGUAAUUUAUUCCGUGGUGUGAUUCUCAGGUGGUUCUCAGUACAAUACAUGAGUGUGCAGGUUAGUUGGUUAGCGAAGUGAAGGAUUCAGGACGACCAUUGAUGUGUGCUCCAUCUUUGUGAACUAUUCUUUUGUCUCAUAUACUACAUUUCGUAUGCUUCCUUAGUUUGAAGAUCAGAACAAUGAAGGUUCCUUACUAAGCAAUUACAUUAUUUGCUUUGCAUUUUGUGUUUUUAAAUAUACAUUAUUAGAAGGAAAAGAGGAAAUAUUUCUAUUUUUCUAUCCGGUCGUGCAUUGUUCAAUUCAAUCUAAUCAAAUUGUUUUACUUUAGUCAAGAGACCAUAUGGUUAACAAGUAUAUCCAAAUUAUUUAUAAUUCAUUUGUCUAAU